Molecule: long non-coding RNA, 424 nt
Organism: Ornithorhynchus anatinus (platypus)
Lineage: Eukaryota; Metazoa; Chordata; Mammalia; Monotremata; Ornithorhynchidae
Exons: 2
Source: RefSeq, a predicted model, not a curated record
GACAGAAUCCCAACUCGACAACUUACUGCCGGUCAUUUAUUCCGGUGGAUACGAAAUCAGAAAUACGGUGUUUGAGGAUUACCAGGUCAAUGGUUCAUUACCCAGCUGUAAAAAUUGCUUCUUCGAUAUUUGUUCGAUGCCAGGUAAAUUGGUCAAAUGAUGGAUUUUUCCCAAAGGUUGCCUAAAAUGAUGAUCCCGUUUUCAGUGCUUGUGAUGCCGGGCAGCCGAGACGGAUCUUCUUUGGAGGUCGGAUUAAACAAGGAAAAGACGGAUGUCUGCCAAAGGGCAUCUGACCGUUCUCGUGCCGUGCAGACACUGUAAAUGGAAACAAUCCUCUCUUAGAAGUAGGAGAGCAAUCCAGACUCAUCUGCGUCGAUACCGAAAAAUACAGGAAGAUAUUAAAUAAAUUUUACCGCAGACAAAA